Molecule: long non-coding RNA, 1083 nt
Organism: Petromyzon marinus (sea lamprey)
Lineage: Eukaryota; Metazoa; Chordata; Hyperoartia; Petromyzontiformes; Petromyzontidae
Source: RefSeq, a predicted model, not a curated record
AAAUUGAGUGUGUAGGUUUAACAAAACAUUAUGUUUUUACAUACCUUUAGGAGCCAAUCCACCAUAAUGUGUACACGUUUUAUAUCUUGAUGGUUAUCUCAGAUCUUCUCAUUCUCAAUAUAAACGAUUUCAUUGUGUUUAGAAAUGACAUUGGAUUGAUUAAGCUGACAGCACCGGUGACGCCGGACACUGGAAUACAGUUUGCCUGCCUUCCCAGUGACAACGAGCAACUGUCAUCGACAAGCACAUGCUACGCCAUCGGCUGGGGCUCCAGAAUAAGUGAUGGCCCGUUAUUAAACUCGGAAGGACAUUCUUGUGGGCGAUGAACUGUACCAUCAAGAUUGUCAUCGCCGUCUUAACACAUACUGGUUCAUUGAUAUUUACAUCAUAAUGGUUCUUGAAAUAUUAACACAAGCUUGUUUAAUCUAAUCUGAAUCAACCUUUUUAGAAGAGUAUUUUGAUCAAGGCAACAGAAAGCUGGUAGCAAUGUAUAUUCUUGUUUAAAACACUCUGAACGUUAUGUAACCACAUUAUGGCGAAAUAACCGUGAAAGAAUUGUGCAUGCUACAUCUAACAUGUGAAAACGACAUAUUUUAUGUGGACAGAACACGAAUUUAUACAGUGGCGGUGUUGUUAACCACAAACUGAUUAUUUUAUCAUGUAAGUACGACUAACAAAAUUUGGUGGGGCGAAAUGAAGUAGGCUGGACAUGACGUCAGAAAUAUAAUCAUAGCAAUAGGUAAAACAUCAUUUUUUACAGUUAAAAUAGUUGCACACUGCUAUAUACAUCGAUUUGUAUGCCAUUAAUUGUAUCCCAUAGGUUUUAUACGCUUCAUGGAUUUACUCAUUUUGCUUCAUGAAAUAAUUUACAAACCAGUGCAUGUACCUAAAACAGCUUAUAUAUGCAGUUUCUGGAUGUAGUAUUUGAAUGAAAAUUUCUAAACAAUGGGUGUUGUGUGGUGUAUUGUAGACGAAGAUACCUGUACCAAAGAGUUCCUCUGACUCGUAUGAAUUGUAAUUGGUCCUCUCUGCACACAUUAAAAGUCUUGGUAGAAUAAUAAACGACUUCCACGACGAUCUUGA